AUGUCAGAGGAUUUUUUGGAGUCCUUGUGGGAUGGGAACUCUUUGCAGAAUAAAACCAUCACCAUAGAGUUCUUCAGCAUGUCGAAUGACGAUUGCAGCUUCUUUGAUCCGGCUUUGGAGCGCUUUGGUCAAAAGAAUUGUGACUCAGAAAGUCAGGCUGUUUGUCAGUUCAAGAAGGAAGAACCGGAUGAAUUCAGUUUACCAAAGUCAUCUUUUUUCAGGAGACUGAGCGAAGACCCCAACACUGGUCUGGUAAUGAAGGAGCUGAUGGCCAAUGCCUCCUGGAGCACAGAUCUGACCUUGCUGCAGCAGCUGACUCAUGCUGUCCUACACAGAAUAGAAGCAGACGGCCCUCACCUCCUGACAUCGGACGACAUCCUCUCCCUCUCCCAGCUGAUUGAUGGGAUUGCAGCUGGCACUUCCUUUGCAGGAACAAAUUCAAUAGAGGCCAUGCUAUCCAUUGCUACAAAUUAUGUAAACUUUGCCAACGUGAUGCUGGAGCCAGACAUGGCUGCGCAGUGGUUUGGUCUAACCGAGUAUGGGGUUAGUGUUGGACCAUUUACUAUAAUCAAAAGCAUUGAUCAUCUCACUGAGGCUCUUGCAGACACACUGGUUGCAGAGCAAAGAGACUUCUCUCUUUCCACUAAAAACAUAGGUAACGUUGCAUUUCUUCCCUAUAAUGUUGUUUUUGUACAAAUAUUUUUAUUGAUGCUGUGUAUCCUGUCAGUUGUGUACAUGAAGUUGCAGAAACUUUCUCAGGAAAGCUGUAAACAAGUCUUCAGACCAUCUCAGCAGCACAGUCUCGAUGAGUUGAUUAUACCGGACUCUGAACUCCAGAGGGUACACGCUCUAGGACACCAGGAGGUGAUGUUUAUUCAUACCCACUACACCCACCUCAGUAAAAUUAUGUCUGGACCAGAUGAGCCUGUGCUGAGGCAACAAGACAAAGGAUCAAGGUUAGCUGCUUGUUUUCUGUAG
RNAcentral lists this long non-coding RNA (978 nucleotides) under Nothobranchius furzeri (turquoise killifish). Its description in RNAcentral is "lncRNA (ENSNFUG00015024985.1)". Lineage: Eukaryota; Metazoa; Chordata; Actinopteri; Cyprinodontiformes; Nothobranchiidae. The record is from RNAcentral.